GCAGAUUAGCACUGUAGCAAACAUUUGUACUGUUGCUACUGUCACAUGCAGUUGCAUUCAUUGACUUGCGGGGGCUGAAGCAUUGAGCAAGAAAUUAGAACACAUUGCAAGUACAAGAGGAUAUGCGACAGGAAUUCUGGAGGUUGCACCAGUGAGACUGAAUAUGGAAACGGGCAAAUUAAAAGCCGAGCAAGCUGGGGAUUUAUAAUGCAGGCAGCAUUUCCAGGUUUCUUUUCCACUUUGCUCUCAUCCUGCUAUUGGAUUUGAGAUCAUGUCUGUUAAUAUUGUAGCCUUUGGAAAUGAAAGAGAUGGUUUUUCUGAAGACAAUCAGCAGUCAAGUCUGAUCUGGAGCUAUCUAGGAAGAAGUGCUCUCAUUUCAGAGACUGAAAGCAGUCCGUUGCUGAAUUCUGCCAAUCACAUCAGAAAUCCCGUUUUUACUGAAUAUCAAGCCUGUGUGUUUGGAAAUGUCAGAUUGGUGGUACAUGACUGUCCUCUUUGGGAUAUAUUUGACAGUGACUGGUAUACUUCUCGCAGUCUCAUUGGAGGAGCUGAUAUUAUUGUGAUUAAAUACUCUGUCAAUGACAAGACUUCAUUUCAAGAAUUAAAAGACAGUUAUGUCCCAAUGAUAAAAAAAGCAUUAAACCACUGUUCUGUUCCUGUAAUAAUUUCUGCUGUUGGUGCAAGAAAAAAUGAAGUGCCUUGUACCUGCCCACUGUGCACUUCAGACAGAAGGAGCUGUGUUACUACUUCUGAAGGAAUUCAGCUUGCUAAAGAACUAGGAGCUACAUAUCUUGAAUUGCAUACCCUUAAUGACUUCUAUAUACAAAAAUAUUUUGGAGGAGUGCUGGAAUAUUUUAUGAUCCAAAGUUUGAAUCAGAAGUCAUCUGAAAAAAUGAAGAAAAGAAAAAAGACCCAGAAGUGCCAUCGAGUUAAACCACCUCAGCUUGAACAACCAGAAAAAAUGCCGAUCUUAAGAGGUGAAGCCUCGCAUUACGACUCUGAUUUACACAGCUUGCUGUUCUGCUGCCAGUGUGUGGAUGUGAUAUUUUACUCAGAAGACUUAAAGAAAGUAGUAGAAGCUCACAAGAUCAUUUUGUGCUCUGUAAGCCAUGUCUUCAUGUUACUUUUCAAUGUGAAGAGUCCAGCUGAUAUUCAUGAUGCUGCUAUCAUACGGACUGCACAGAGUCUCUUUGCAGUGAACAAUGAGGCUGUGUUUCCAGUUCCUAGCAAGGGCUCAUCAUGCAACCCACCAGUAAGAGUCAUUGUUAAAGACUCUGUCUUCUGUUCUUGUUUGUCAGACAUUCUACACUUCAUUUAUUCAGGUGCUUUCCAGUGGGAACAGUUAGAAGAAGAUAUAAAAAAGAAGAUAAAGGAUCCUGAAAAAAUUGAACAUGUGCUUGAGAAAGUUAAAUGUAUCCUGAAAACUCCAGGAAAGCUCAACAAUUUAAAGGACUACAGAUCUCACCAGAUAAAACGAUUGUGUAAUACUUCUCUCAGGCUUUUCUUUAAUACACCUGUGCUAGCUGAUGUCAUCUUCAAAAUACAAGGUGCAACUGUACCAGCCCACAGAGCAGUUCUGAUAGCUCGCUGUGAGGUAAUGGCAGCUAUGUUUAAUGGUAACUAUCUAGAAGCAAAUAAUAUUCUGGUUCCAGUGUAUGGAGUUUCCAAAGACACUUUCCUCUCCUUUCUAGAGUAUCUCUAUACCGACUCCUGUUGUCCAGCUAGUAUUCUCCAAGCUAUGUCUCUCUUGAUUUGUGCUGAGAUGUACCAAGUAACGAGACUCCAACAUAUCUGUGAGCUUUAUAUUAUCACACAGCUUCAGAGUAUGCCUAGUAGAGAAUUGGCAUCUACAAGACUCAGUAUUGUUAGCUUGCUCAGAAAAGCUAAGUUUCACAAUUCUGAUUGCCUUUCGACUUGGCUUCUUCAUUUCAUUGCCACUAACUACCUCAUCUUCAGUCAAAAGCCUGAAUUUCAAGAUCUUUCAGGUAGUUUAUCAAUUAUUUUUUUAAAGAGAAAUGUUUUUCAGUUCUGCUUAGAUUAGAAAUGAGAUACCAAAUAAUGCUGCUUCUGCAUGAGGAAAUGAGUAAGAUUUUUUUAGGAUAUACAGUCUAAUCCAAUCCAAAAUCAUUCUGAGCCAGAUGGUCCACCAACCUACCGUGGGACUAGCAUAUGACACAUAGAAGAGUAAUAUAGCUAGCGCUGCAUCCACUUGUCUUUUGGUUCCUAUGCUGAUGAGCAGGUUCCCACCCAUUACUGAAUUGGCUAGGGCAGUUUGCUUAUCAUAUUUCAGCUCUUCCAUACCUUUAAGUAUAUAACUUUGUUUAGUUUAUACAUUUGACUCAAGAUAAUGAGCUACUUUCAGUAGCUUCUGUUUAAGAUAUUUUUUUAGGAAGAAGGUAGAUUACUUGUGGUAUUCUGCAGCAGAUCUUAUGAAAUCAAGUAGCUGACUGAUGUCCAUUCAAAUCAAUAAAUCCAAGUUGUUCUGAGGAAUUGAUGUUUAUUUUCCAAAAGAGACUGUAUUUGUUUCCUGACAUGUAAUUCUAGAAUGUUUUGCCCACUGUCUGUGGGGGAAUGUCUGUUCACCACUGAUGAGGGUGAUCUCAAUGGAUGUGUCACUUCUGCCUGGAGAUAGUAUUCAGACUAUUAGUACAGGGCCAGUAUCUUCAAAAUGGAAUUUUCUUAUCAGUGGGCUGAUUGAGUCCAAAAUACAUUAAAGGUCCUCUUUCCUCAUUUGCAAGGCUCACAUAUGCAUGGGAUGACAGAUGACUUUGCAAUUGUUUGUUGAACAAAUGUUUGAACAAAAAAAGGAGAGCUAGGUCCUCUUUGCUUUGUUUGGGACAUGGGGCAAUUCCAAUGUUAUCUGCCUUUCAGUGGUCCAUCUGCCCAGAUUCUGAAAUGCCCAUUUUAUAAAUGAGAUCUGGACUGCAAAUCUGGAUUACAAAUGAGAGAUCAGCUACUGAUGAUCAGCUAUGCUGAUGGAUCUCAGCUACAAGUGGGUUCAGUUCAUGUAGGACUUGGUUUGCUUCACUUCCUUGUUGGCUCAGGUGGCAGACUGUGUUUGAAAAUGCUCUUCGGUAACUUUCUUCCUUCAAGACUUUGGUCUCAGCCAUCCUGAGAUUCCCUCAAAGCUGAAGGAAUCAGAUCUUUCAGUCUGGUAAAGGUUCAAGUGACAGUUGUCUCUGUCUUCCAGUUGGGGGGUAUGGGACCAGAGACUCAAAGGCUUGUAGAUUCCUGCAGAUCUUGAGCUAGGCACAGCUACUUACUCAUUUUGCAGUUCCCCAGUAGGAUAUCAAUUUUGUGCUGUUUUUUUCAUGGGAUUUUCUCUCUUAAAAACUUUAAUUCUUGCCCCUGUCCUCAUCUUGUCUGGAAAGCUGGCAUCACUUCCGUCAGAACAGUAUAUGAGAUUCAGGCUUUCCUAGGUAACCUCUAAUGUAUUCUGCGUUCUUCAAGGACAGUGUGUCUCUUCAUGCUCACCUUAAAUUUGUAUCUUGGUGGUGCCAGAUCUCUGUCAGGCAGGAGAUUAAUCUUUAGGUAGUCUUCCUAAAGCCUUGUAUUUUUAGGGAUGGAACUGCUUCACAGUACCAGCUGCAGGAAGGAGCUCUUAUUUUCUUAUUGCAGUUUCAGACCUUUUGAGAGGUUUAUUUCUUAAGCUCUUUGUUCCUACUGUGAAAAGUUCUAAGAGCUCUUUUGUCUCCAUACUGCAGUUAUCCAGAUGGAUAUCAGAUUGCAUGUGAACCUGUUAUGAAACUAUGAAAGUGAUGUUUCUGACAAUGAUCAGAAUGUGUUCUAACAGAGCCCAAGUGACCUAAGGGAUGAGCUAUAUAAUAUUUCCAUAAUGAAUAUUUGCUGUGAGAUCAUCCGGAAGAUUCCUCCAGGCUUUCAAGGUUUCUGAAGCACCCAGGGCUGAUGCAGAGUGGUACUACAACUGUUGGUUGUUUGAUGAAGUUUUUCAAAUCUCUGCCAGAUGACUGUUACCAGAGUAACUGUUUGGAAUCAGCCACUGGUAGAAAGCAAGUGUAGAUUCACUCAAAGAAAAAGGGUACCUUCCCGAUAAUUGAUAUUCUUUGAGAUGUGCUAUCCACAUGCACAUUGGUCUACCCUUUGCUUUUCUCUUUUCUCUGAGUCUCUUCCAGAUGAUUCUUCACUGAGAGGUAGACAUGCUCUGCAUCAUAGACCUUGCACUGGGCAAGAUGGGGGGAAGAAAUAAAAGUUCAGGGAAAAACUUUCUCUUCUGGCUUGUCAGGAUGCAAAUAUUCUCACAGAAUUCAGAUAUAGAGUAUACUUCUCGAAGAACAGCAACUAUUGGCAGAUGACCUUGCUUUUUUCAUUGAAAAGGAUGUUUACUCUUCAUUUCUAUUAUCUUAAGUUUCGAGAAAAACAAUGAUACAUGAGUGGAUGAGCGCAAUUUUGUUGAGAUGCACAGAUGGCCCUCCGAUAUGUACCUGAAGCAGCUUGCUGAUUACAGGAAUUAUAUCCAUUCUCAGAAAUGCUAUUGCACAGUAAUGUAAAAAGACUGAACAUACUCAAAGUACAUCUCAACUGGGAAAUUUCAGAUUGAGAAUUAUCUGAAGUAUAAAAAUCAUAUCAAGAGCAAAAAUAAAUAUUAAGCACUGUAUGCUAUGCUGUAGUGCACUUACUAAUAUUCCUUGCUUUGAUAAUAAAUCACUGGUUUUUCUUAAAGGGGUGAGAAAUAUCAUGAGGAUUUAUUUCAAACAUGAGGAUUUCACACCCAUUAGGAUUAAACCUAGCAUGGGACUGUGGCAUAGCUGCCAUCUAUUUCCCCUUUCAGUUUCUUUAUUUCUUAUUUUAUUGGUCUUUAUGGUUAUUUUCAGCUGCUAAGACGUUGAAAACAGUUUUUUUUUAAAUCUUGUGUUUGGCCACAAUCGCAGUGCAAGAAAGUUGGGUAGCCGACUCAUGAGCUCUUUGAAUAUCUCAGAAUGCAGAAAUUUACAACCUUUAUUGGCUUGCAAAAUUAAGGGUCCAUUUAAUAAACAUUCAAGUAACUGUUCCUUUUCUACAUCAGGUGAAGUUUGUAGUUCUCAUUAACAGGACUUUUAUAGUCAUAUGAGCAGAUAUUCUUAAUUCCAGCAGAAUGCUUGUGUGGCACCAUCACUAUAUUGUUUAGUGUUUCCCAAUUAUCUAAAAAUGGAAAUACUUUCUCCUCCCAGUAAAUAGGAUAAGGAAGUCAGUUUUAAUAACUUGCCAAACAUCUUUGCUAGUGUGGGAAUAUUUUAUGUCCUUGUAUGUAAAAAUUCAGGAAAAAUUUAAGUCAGCUAAGAGCAUAUCUAUUCAGUAUUGGUAGAGACAGGGAGGCACAGGAAGGGGGUCCACAGUCAUUCUUAUGUUUUGUGGAAGAAGACUCCCUAGCCCUAGUGACUUUCUUCAGAAAAAGUUUGUCUCAUAAGCAGAAGUUUCCUCCAGUAGCUGAUACCGUAAAUGUUUCAAAUAGAUGUCAUGGUCAUGGACGGAGGUGACUUUUCAGAUAGAUAUGCCAGUCCUAUGAAGGACUUCCGCUAUUGUAACAUGACAUUUGGCUCGACUUUCCUUGGUGGGCAGUCAGUAUAAAAUGAAUUAUCAUAAAGCAUUCAUAAGCUACUACAUAUUAUGCAAAUCUGAUUAUAUUUUUCUGAAUGUGUGGAUUCUUUUUCCAUUAUAAGUGAUAAAUCUUGAAUAUUAUGAAUAGGAUGAUCCUUGUAGGCAGGUAUUGACAGUAUUCCUUAGGUCACAGGUCUAAAUCAUUCAUUUAACUAGCCCUUAUGUUAUAUGUAUGUAAUAAUAAUGAUGAGGACGAAAUGAACCCAACCUACACAUUAAGGUGUCUAUCUAAAGACAGAUACUUGCUGUAAUUGAAACUCUUCACUGUCAGUCUUACUAUACUUUUAUAUCAGUUCUGUUUUGUCAGCAGCCUUUAAUUUCGUUUAUGUAGUGUCUGAGCCUAGAAAGACACAAAAAUACUGAAAAAAUUACUUAGUAUUUCUCCAAGCACCACAGCAGACCAUCUCAAAAGUACCUCGAAAGUAUAGCUGUGAGGUGAAGCUGAAACUGCAAAUUGCUGGAACUGAAUCCUUUUUUGUAUAUAGAAAUUGUUUCUGUAUUUCAAUGGGAUUUCAUAGGUCAGUUGUUCUUUUCAAAUUCCUUGUUAGAAUCAUAGGGAUUUUCUUUUUUGGUUACAUUUUGCAGAAUCAAGAUGGUAUUUCCUUUCCUAUUUUGGGACCAAAAAAAAAAAAAAAAAAGAGAGAGAUCGUGACUCAACUGACUGUUGCAGGUUCAAAAUUCUAAGGUUAGUUUUAUAUCAGAAUAGUGGUGAUUGAAUUCAAUUUUUAUUUCUGACUUCUCAUCUGGAGUUCAUAAACUUCUUCAAAAUAUGAGAUACAGUUAUCUGCAUCUCACAUAUAAGGAGACUUAAAUGUAGAGCUUUAAGUUGCUUUUCAGGAUCACUAAAGAAAACUGUUGAGAAAAAAAAGUAAGUAGAAAAGUAAAAUAUACAGAACUUAAAGGUAAAAAAGUUAUUUUCUAAGGCUGUGAUAUUCAUUACAGUAGAAAUUAAAAACUUUAAACAUAAACUAACUGCAUGGAUAAGAUUAAAACUUACAGUUUUUUGAAGCAUAAGGCCAUAGACAAAAAUGAGCAUACAACUAGAAACAUAACUUGUGUGGAUACCUGAUAGCAUGCUUGGUCACUAGCUGUGCUUCUAUCAGUAGGCAGCUCAAUUAUUUAAGUUGCAGUUUAUAUGCCUCAUACUAACUUUUAGUAUAAAAGUGAUUACAAAAGUUAUAUAUGAAUAUUGGUCUGUAUUGCAUGUAGUCCUAAAUUUUUAGUAUUUUGAAACUUUACCCUAUAUGUUGUAGGUUUUUUGCUAGAAAUUAGUCUGUUGCCAAUAGUUUAGAUAUAGAUAAGAUGCCAAACAAAAUAUUAUUUUUAACUUCACCUAAAUGUUUUAUAAGCAUCUAAACAAUAGGCUUAAUGGAAAUAUCAACACUUUGUAUCCAAGCAACAGAAAUAUUUUGAUAUUAUAUAUUUUAAUUAAUUGUUAUAAGCACAGGUUUUAUACAGAGAAGGCAGGCAAUGUAAAAAUAUUUAUUAUUUAUUCACAAAUUUACUGUAACUUACUAAUCAGACCUUAAAAUAGCUUUCCAUCUUACCAGAUAUCCUCAUAGUGCCACCUGUAUCAGGUACAAACAUAGAAUAUAUGUGAUAAAUUUAUGAAAAAGUUUUCUCCAUUAUUUUGUAUGAUGUUUAUCUGUAAAAAUGUAUUUAUCUUAACAUAUUUUUAAAAUGAAUACUUUACAUAGCAUUAUACUUUAGCAUUCAAAGACAUAACUGAAAGUAGAUCAUGAUGUUUGGUUAGUUACUGUAGGUAAAUUUUGUUAACAGAAUAUCUUGUUAGCCUUUAGCAGCCUACAGAUCAUGGAUAUUCAGGAAUUAGAGCACUACUGAGUUUGGUAUUUAUGACAAAUUUUGUAUGCGUAAUACAUUAGGACCUUUGCUAGGCUAUGAAGUAAAAAUUAGGAAGCAGCUGAAAAAAUUAUUCAAACAAGUAAUUAUACUUUGAAGAAAAGUAUAAUGUGUGAAGAUGAAAACUUACAUAUUAGUUCAGGAAACUGCUAAUAACCUCUGCUCCUCUUUAAAAUAAAAUGUUAAUGUCUUGAUAAACAGUUUAAUAUAUUAUCCAGGGAUUUCGUUUUCUAGUUUCAUAACUGCCAGAAGAGCUUUUUGCUGUGCAAGAAUUAGGAUUUGCCUGACCUCAAAGUGGAAUCCAGAGGAUCAGUGACCUUCUUAACUUGAUGGGGUUCAAACCUGCAUUUCUUAUAUCCAAGUAUGGUACCCUGACUGUUAAGCGAUAAGUUAAUUGCUCUUCAACCUUUACGUUUCCAGGCGUGCCAUUUACACAAGAAAAAGCAGUGAAGGGAGCAUGAUUCUGGAACCUCUUGGGCCAAUCAGAGGGAGAUGCUUUCUUCUCAGAAAUUUAAUAUAUUCGAUUGGUUAUCUGUUGAACCUUACUAGCAGAAACAGCCCUAAGAACAAGUCAUGGAAAAAGAUUCUUUUGUUCCUGUGGAAAGGAUUCCCUCGAAUAAUGCGUGUUCUUCAGUGCUAUCUCCCUUUCUGACUCCAGGUUUCUUUCCAGGCUUUUCAACCCAGUGGCUGGGUCCAAUCUUCAAAGCACAAGACUGUAAUCACAUCAACUUUUCCUCCUUGUAAAACAUGCCUCAUUUUCAUAUUAAGGCCGUUCUCCUCUUUAUUAGGCAUGCUCAGAGGCAGCUUACCAUCUACAGCCCUGGAGCUGAUCCUGAUUUCCCAGUUCCAAGCUACUGAGGCUUGCAGUUCUAAAUAUCCCUGGAAACAGAACUCCUAGAACAUGGGGAAUUUUAAGGUCAAGGAAGACAGCAGGGGUUGAAUUGGGGUAUUAUCAGGCAGUAGCUAAGCAGCCUCUAGACAGUUUUGGAUUACAGUUUUGGGCAGACAUUUAAGUGGAAUUUAGAUUUCCAAUUCCUUUAUUAGAUCUAACUCUCAAAAUCUACUUUUAUAGGACAAUUAAUAAUUAAGAUAUUUAAUAACAGAUUGCACCAUAAAAUUUUUGCUGUAUUUGAUACAUGCUAAUGCUUGUCCCAAGCUGGCACUGAGCUUUAUAUUGAAAGGCUAACAGAAAGCUUUCUGCAUUAAUAAAGUUUUCCGCAUGAUAAUUACAGAUUCUCUGCUGUAGUCCUUUAGGUCUUGAUGUAUUUGAUAUGAAAAAAUGUUAGAAGGAAGAAACAGUUAUUUUAUUAGGUAUGUGUUGAAACUCAGCCUUUCAUAUGUUUGUCUUUUAAUAUAGCCUGACAAAAAUUUACAUGUUUUUAGAUUUGGCAGUUAACAUUUUGUUAAAAAAUAAACUCUUUUUUCUAGUCA
RNA transcript from Dromaius novaehollandiae (emu), 8886 nucleotides. It is a transcript of the gene named rho-related BTB domain-containing protein 3, with no coding region annotated. The record is from RefSeq and is a predicted model, not a curated record. The transcript has 12 exons. NCBI's taxonomy places the organism in Eukaryota, Metazoa, Chordata, Aves, Casuariiformes, Dromaiidae.